UAGUCGUUACUUGGCUCGUUGUCACUCACUUUUCCUUCGUAGACUGACAUCGAUAUUGUCACAAGUUGUCCCCGUCUUUUUGGUUGCAAGUCGACUUCCUUUCCUAAACUGGCAUAGAAAUUGUUACACUGCCACGAAACCCCGUGAAAAAGGGCAAAUUCCCCAGCUGUUCACUGACCUAUCAUUACCUAUCGGGGUAAUUACUUGACUUUUCCUUUGUUUGGUCCAAUCCACUUUAUUAGGCAAUUAGCAGGUUUAACAUCCGAGAGUCUUGCAGUUCAAGCAAUAGUACAUAUCAGGAGUGGGAAGGUCUUAUUGGACAGAAAAGGGAGGUAGGACAGGUCUUAUUGGACGGAAAAGGGAGGUAGGACGUGCCCUUAAACUAGAACAUCGCUUCUUUCUAUUAUACCGGUGGCGGAGCAAUUAUGGAAUCCGCGGGGUAAUCAUAGUGAGCUAGAGGCUCCUCCACAAUAAGCAGUGUCCGUCCUAACCUUAUGGAAUUUGCAGAUGAUACACCCCUUCCUUUUAAGCGUACCGAGCAGAAGAAUGAAAGUAAGGCACUCAAUCCUUUUAUUCGGCAUCCGACUCCGAUAUUAGCAGAAGAAGAAGUUAAGGUAUUCCAAAGCUGUAAAACAAGUUAUCAGCGGUCAAAGGCAGAACCGGACCAGAACUAGUCUUUCCCUUGGCCGGAGAGCAAAUGCAAGUCCUUUCAAACUAGAGCUCCUGUCGGUCUUUAUAAUAGUAUUGAUUGCUCUAUUGCGCGGGUAUUAGCCUCAGAGGCGGCGUAAGGCAUUUCCCACAGUAAGACAUGCUCCCACUGGACGACAUGCGGAUAGAGAAGAGAAACAAAGCCCUUUCUAGGAGUCAUCCCUUGUUCACUUCUUUCCUUCUAAGAUUUUAUUCAACAGUGAUAAAGGAAAAGAGUAAGGCCAUAAAAGCAUUCAAUAGCAGCGCUUAUGCCUUCAACAAAGAGCUAAUUCCGGAACUUUAUUCUAUUUCAAUUGCAGCAGCUAGUUCCUUAGGAUUGCUAAACACUAGUCUUUCCUUCCCACCCAGAUUGCUAAACACUAGUCUUUCCUUCCCACCGGCAAUGCUAUACCUUAUCCAUUUUCCUUGACCUUCCAGCUGAGCCCCUUUCUUACGCAAAAUGCCUAUUUUCAAUCAGACUAGGCUGGGCGUUUGAUGGAAUUCAAUCAAGUGCUAGUAUUUGGAACUGCUCUAGUCAUUAUCUCUUCCUGUAAACUGAAGUGGAGUCUUUGGUCUCUUAGCCUAGCGGAAUUAAUGUAGUCUGCGGUCCCUUUGUCAAUGACCCAUGUCUUUGAGGAACUACUGUACUUGUUCCAUCCCAGAUUCUUUUUGCCCGUCUCACCAAACAAUGCUUCCCCACUUUCAAAGAAGUUGCCUAUUCCAACUGUACUGGUCUCUAUCAACUAACUAAAGCACUAAAGAGAGGUGGGGCAGGAGUCACUAAAGCACUAAAGAAAGAGAGGUGGGGCAGGAGUCACUAAAGCAUUAAAGAGAGGUGGGGCAGGAUACAUAUCUUUCUCUUUCAUAACCAAAAACGGGAUAUUCGCAUUAGCAUAAGGAGGAGAACGAAGAGAUGAGCACUUUUCAAGCAGUUUUCCUUAACGAAGUAAUCUAUGUGACCAAUGGACGUUUCAAAGAAAUAAGGGAGUCGGAGCUUUACUAUACUCCAAAUAUCGAUAUUGGUAGUUUGAGUAUAGAUUUGAGACUGGAACAUAUGCCUUCUGACUCUAUAGAUAGGACGACGUGACACGAAAUGGAUCACUUAGAACCUAUGAGAAAUUGAUAACAUUUCUCCUUUCCUUCUAAACUGCCUUUCCCGCAUCAGUCUAUAGAGUAGAUUUCCCAUCCUUGGUAAACUCUCGAGAUUGCUUUUCUUUUUAAUGUCGUCCGAGGAUCCAGUCCUGCAGGUGCUUGAAAAGGGAAUUCUCCCGAGACAUCAUUCGAGUUAGCAUCAAAGUUUGCGUAUGAGUUCGCGCAGUAAACGACAAAGGAAUUUCUUUCCUACUUCCAGAUAUUAUGAAAACUAAGCAGAGCAGGUGACUAGUCGGUUCCCCGUAGGGUAGGUCCAAACAUGGGACAACAGAAAGAUGCUCCAAUUGCCAAAGUGUCAUAGUCCGAGGCUCCGCUUGUUAUUUCGAUAGAGACCUACAGUCCGGAAGACCAGAAUGGCAUGACUUAUAUAAUAGGCAAGAGCCAACAGCAAAUACAAUUCGAGGAGCAUAAUCUGGCUCUAUCUAGAACUUAUUAUUUGGAUUCUUUUGGCUCUAUCUAGAACUUAUUAUUUGGAUUCUUUUGCUUAGUUAACGAGGUUAACGAGAAGAGGCGAAGAAAAGAAAGAAGCGCUCUAGCUAUCACUUGAUGUAUUGGUUUUGAAUCAACUCGUAAACGGGAGAAAAGAUGCUCUUAUUUCGCCAAGUCCAUAAGUACCAUAGGCAUAUACAAAGAGGAUUGACCACACUUGAUUUCAUGCAACUGUGCCUUCUCUCUCCGGUUAUCGUAUUCCUUUCUUAUAGCAGUUAGGGGGUUAGUUUCAAGCUCGUUUAUGGGAUGAUGUAUUUCGUUAGAGAACUUUGGUUUCUGCUAUGCUUAGAUACCUUGUCCAGCUACGUUACGUUAGAAGCUUCCACCUCGUGCAAACGGAUGCUUUUUCCAGAGGCAUGCCUCGGUUCAGAAAGGCUUUCGAUGUUUCCGAUGUUUUGAUCCUUCUUUUUGUUCUCUCCCGGCCCUGCUUGAAAACGGAUUGAUUCCAAUCGGGUCCAGGACAUUCGACGAAAAAGGAUGACCCAAUGCUAUGACCUUUAUCACCCCCAAAAAGGUAAAGAUCACACAUUUGGAAAUCAGCCCGCCCCUAAAUAUGUGUUCAGGAACGCUAUGUAAAUAGGGUCGCCCUCACACAGCAUCUAUUAGUGAAAUCAACAUACGUUUCAAAAAGCAUUUGGAAGCCAUAUAGCCAUUUAAGCCUUACUCCCUAUUAUCU
Molecule: long non-coding RNA, 3004 nt
Filed under: Musa acuminata (dwarf banana)
Lineage: Eukaryota; Viridiplantae; Streptophyta; Magnoliopsida; Zingiberales; Musaceae
Description: long non-coding RNA (MACU_LNC007969)
Source: RNAcentral